RNAcentral lists this ribosomal RNA (497 nucleotides) under uncultured bacterium. RNAcentral's name for it is "partial 16S ribosomal RNA". It matches the Rfam family "Bacterial small subunit ribosomal RNA", at positions 28 to 507 of the family's 1533-position model. The record is from RNAcentral.
GAUGAACGCUGGCGGCGUGCCUAACACAUGCAAGUCGAACGGAAGGACGAUAAGCUUGUGGGUUUGAUGUUAGCGGAGGGCGGGAGAGUAACGCGUGUAUCACCUACUUAUAUUUCGGGGAAAAUUACGGGAAACCGGAUAUAAUAGGAGAGGAUAUGUUGAACCGCAGGGUGCAAUGGAGAAUGACGGCCUUGGGGUCUGUACUAGCUGGUUACGGGCUGGAUUGGCUAGUCGGUAAGGUCACGGCAUAGCAAGGCAACGAAGCGUAGCCGAGCGGAGAGGCUGAUCGGCCACACUGGAGCUGAGCCACGGUCCAGGCUCCUACGGGAGGCAGCAGUGUGGUAUCUUCGGCAAUGGGCGGAAGCCUGACGCAGCGAGCCCGCGUGAGUUAUGAAGGCCUUCCGUUCGUAAAGCCCUGUUUUUGGUUAAGAACAGCUGUGGAAUGAGCCGAGGCCUUCUUGACGGUACCGAAUCAAAAAGCCCCGGCUAACUACGUG